This is a non-coding RNA of Acanthosepion pharaonis, 105 nucleotides long. Lineage: Eukaryota; Metazoa; Mollusca; Cephalopoda; Sepiida; Sepiidae. The record is from the annotation of a GenBank genome assembly.
ACAUCAUGUUGAAACACUGGUUCCCAUACAAUCACCAAAGUUAAGCAAUGUUGAGCUUGGUCAAUACCUAGCUGAGUGACAGCUUGGGAAUAUCAACUGCUGUAA